Long non-coding RNA from Thalassophryne amazonica, 639 nucleotides. RefSeq lists it as uncharacterized. The record is from RefSeq and is a predicted model, not a curated record. The transcript has 3 exons. Lineage: Eukaryota; Metazoa; Chordata; Actinopteri; Batrachoidiformes; Batrachoididae.
AGAUUUUUAAAAUUAUGGAAUAUAGCAUUCAAAACCAUCUGUUCAUUAGUGUAUAAUUAGCUGCAAUAAUGAAUCAAAGUGGGUUUUUUUUCAGGUUAGACUGAGCCCACCAUAUCUACAUGAGAGUGGGCCCCACUCACAUGAAAGCCGCCAUGUUGGUACAGGAACCCAAAAAGGACAUACUCACUCCAUCUUUUGCAUUUUGCAGCACCACUGGAAGACUAAUGAAAAAUAAGAGCAAUCCAUGGUUGUUUGCCUAUACACUGUCUACUGGUUGCUAGUGCAGGCUCACAAGUUUAGGAACCCUCAUUUUUGUGAAACUGAUUGGAUCAUACAUGGUGCUCACCACAAGAGAAGGCAAGGAGGCAUGAAUCGGCAUUGCCAAUGAAUCAAAAACGUGAAGAGAAACAAUAUCGCAACCAGCAAGAGUAUAACACAAUCUGCAACCUCACCACUAGAUGACACUAAAUUAUACACACUAUAGCUUUAAGUUAACCAGAACAUUGACAUUUUGAAAUAAUAAUUUUAUAAUAAUUUCAAACAUGCUGCUUCAGGCUUUCUUUUACAUACAGUCAUUAAUAUCUCCUGGACACAGUAGCUUUUAUCAGUUAUUUGUCUAAUUUUAUGAUCCCACUUUGU